This 244-nucleotide ribosomal RNA is filed under the name uncultured Actinomycetales bacterium. RNAcentral describes it as "partial 16S ribosomal RNA". It matches the Rfam family "Bacterial small subunit ribosomal RNA", at positions 89 to 334 of the family's 1533-position model. The record is from RNAcentral. Lineage: Bacteria; Bacillati; Actinomycetota; Actinomycetes; Actinomycetales.
GCUCGAGUGGCGAACGGGUGAGUAACACGUGAGUAGCCUGCCCUUGACUUUGGGAUAACUUCAGGAAACUGGGGCUAAUACCGGAUAGGAGCUCCUGCUACAUGGUGGGGGUUGGAAAGUUUCGGCGGUUGGGGAUGGACUCGCGGCUUAUCAGCUUGUUGGUGGGGUAGUGGCUUACCAAGGCUUUGACGGGUAGCCGGCCUGAGAGGGUGACCGGCCACAUUGGGACUGAGAUACGGCCCAG